CCUACGGGAGGCAGCAGUGAGGAAUAUUGGUCAAUGGACGAGAGUCUGAACCAGCCAAGUAGCGUGAAGGAUGACUGCCCUAUGGGUUGUAAACUUCUUUUAUAUGGGAAUAAAAUGUUCCACGUGUGGGAUUUUGUAUGUACCAUAUGAAUAAGGAUCGGCUAACUCCGUGCCAGCAGCCGCGGUAAUACGGAGGAUCCGAGCGUUAUCCGGAUUUAUUGGGUUUAAAGGGAGCGUAGGUGGAUUGUUAAGUCAGUUGUGAAAGUUUGCGGCUCAACCGUAAAAUUGCAGUUGAAACUGGCAGUCGUGAGUACAGUAGAGGUGGGCGGAAUUCGUGGUGUAUCGGUGAAAUGCUUAGAUAUCACGAAGAACUCCGAUUGCGAAGGCAGCUCACUGGACUGCAACUGACACUGAGGCUCGAAAGUGUGGGUAUCAAACAGGAUUAGAUACCCCUGUAGUC
Molecule: ribosomal RNA, 460 nt
Filed under: uncultured bacterium
Lineage: Bacteria
Description: partial 16S ribosomal RNA
Rfam family: Bacterial small subunit ribosomal RNA
Source: RNAcentral